UACGAAGGGUGCAAGCGUUGCUCGGAAUUAUUGGGCGUAAAGCGCGCGUAGGCGGCUUGGCAAGUCGGAUGUGAAAUCCCUCGGCUCAACCAAGGAAGUGCAUCCGAAACUGCUGAGCUUGAGUACUCAAGAGGCUCGCGGAAUUCCCGGUGUAGAGGUGAAAUUCGUAGAUAUCGGGAGGAACACCAGUGGCGAAGGCGGCGAGCUGGGAAGAUACUGACGCUGAGGUGCGAAAGCGUGGGGAGCAAACAGG
This 253-nucleotide ribosomal RNA is filed under the name uncultured bacterium. Its description in RNAcentral is "partial 16S ribosomal RNA". It matches the Rfam family "Bacterial small subunit ribosomal RNA", at positions 524 to 776 of the family's 1533-position model. The record is from RNAcentral.